UCCCUCUUAGCGUAAUGGUCAUCGCGUUUGGCUACGAACCAAAAGGUUGCAGGUUCGAGUCCUGCAGGGGGAG
Molecule: non-coding RNA, 73 nt
Organism: Brettanomyces bruxellensis
Lineage: Eukaryota; Fungi; Ascomycota; Pichiomycetes; Pichiales; Pichiaceae
Source: the annotation of a RefSeq genome assembly